GAUGAACGCUGGCGGCGUGCCUAAUACAUGCAAGUCGAGCGAACGGACGAGAAGCUUGCUUCUCUGAUGUUAGCGGCGGACGGGUGAGUAACACGUGGAUAACCUACCUAUAAGACUGGGAUAACUUCGGGAAACCGGAGCUAAUACCGGAUAAUAUUUUGAACCGCAUGGUUCAAAAGUGAAAGACGGUCUUGCUGUCACUUAUAGAUGGAUCCGCGCUGCAUUAGCUAGUUGGUAAGGUAACGGCUUACCAAGGCAACGAUGCAUAGCCGACCUGAGAGGGUGGUCGGCCACACUGGAACUGAGACACGGUCCAGACUCCUGCGGGAGGCAGCAGUAGGGAAUCUUCCGCAAUGGGCGAGAGCCUGACGGAGCAACGCCGCGUGAGUGAUGAAGGUCUUCGGAUCGUAAAGCUCUGUUAUUAGGGAGGAACAUAUGUGUAAGUAACUGUGCACAUCUUGACGGUACCUAAUCAGAAAGCCACGGCUAACUACGUG
Molecule: ribosomal RNA, 497 nt
Filed under: uncultured bacterium
Lineage: Bacteria
Description: partial 16S ribosomal RNA
Rfam family: Bacterial small subunit ribosomal RNA
Source: RNAcentral